Molecule: ribosomal RNA, 409 nt
Filed under: bacterium
Lineage: Bacteria
Description: partial 16S ribosomal RNA
Rfam family: Bacterial small subunit ribosomal RNA
Source: RNAcentral
GGGGGAAUAUUGCACAAUGGGCGAAAGCCUGAUGCAGCGACGCCGCGUGAGGGAUGACGGCCUUCGGUUUGUAAACCUCUUUCAGUAGGGACGAAGCGCAAGUGACGGUACCUGCAGAAGAAGCACCGGCUAACUACGUGCCAGCAGCCGCGGUAAUACGUAGGGUGCGAGCGUUGUCCGGAAUUACUGGGCGUAAAGAGCUCGUAGGCGGUUUGUCACGUCGUCUGUGAAAUCCUAGGGCUUAACCCUGGACGUGCAGGCGAUACGGGCUGACUUGAGUACUUCAGGGGAGACUGGAAUUUCUGGUGUAGCGGUGGAAUGCACAGAUAUCAGGAAGAACACCGAUGGCGAAGGCAGGUCUCUGGGUAGUAACUGACGCUGAGGAGCGAAAGCAUGGGUAGCGAACAGG